Molecule: ribosomal RNA, 429 nt
Filed under: Actinomycetes bacterium
Lineage: Bacteria; Bacillati; Actinomycetota; Actinomycetes
Description: Actinobacteria bacterium partial 16S ribosomal RNA
Rfam family: Bacterial small subunit ribosomal RNA
Source: RNAcentral
UAGGGAAUCUUCCGCAAUGGGCGAAAGCCUGACGGAGCAACGCCGCGUGAGUGAUGAAGGUCUUCGGAUCGUAAAACUCUGUUAUUAGGGAAGAACAAAUGUGUAAGUAACUAUGCACGUCUUGACGGUACCUAAUCAGAAAGCCACGGCUAACUACGUGCCAGCAGCCGCGGUAAUACGUAGGUGGCAAGCGUUAUCCGGAAUUAUUGGGCGUAAAGCGCGCGUAGGCGGUUUUUUAAGUCUGAUGUGAAAGCCCACGGCUAAACCGUGGAGGGUCAUUGGAAACUGGAAAACUUGAGUGCAGAAGAGGAAAGUGGAAUUACAGGUGGAGCGGUAAAAUGCGCAGAGAAAAGGGGGAACACCAGUGGCGAAGGCGACUUUCUGGUCUGUAACUGACGCUGAUGUGCGAAAGCGUGGGGAUCAAACAGG